AACGAACGCUGGCGGCAGGCUUAACACAUGCAAGUCGAACGCCCCGCAAGGGGAGUGGCAGACGGGUGAGUAACGCGUGGGAACAUACCCUUUUCUACGGAAUAGCUCUGGGAAACUGGAAUUAAUACCGUAUACGCCCUACGGGGGAAAGAUUUACCGGGGAAGGAUUGGCCCGCGUUGGAUUAGCUAGUUGGUGGGGUAAAGGCCUACCAAGGCGACGAUCCAUAGCUGGUCUGAGAGGAUGAUCAGCCACAUUGGGACUGAGACACGGCCCAAACUCCUACGGGAGGCAGCAGUGGGGAAUAUUGGACAAUGGGCGCAAGCCUGAUCCAGCCAUGCCGCGUGAGUGAUGAAGGCCUUAGGGUUGUAAAGCUCUUUCACCGAUGAAGAUAAUGACGGUAGUCGGAGAAGAAGCCCCGGCUAACUUCGUG
Molecule: ribosomal RNA, 431 nt
Filed under: uncultured bacterium
Lineage: Bacteria
Description: partial 16S ribosomal RNA
Rfam family: Bacterial small subunit ribosomal RNA
Source: RNAcentral